RNAcentral lists this transfer RNA (73 nucleotides) under Candidatus Colwellbacteria bacterium CG10_big_fil_rev_8_21_14_0_10_42_22. RNAcentral's name for it is "tRNA-Lys". It matches the Rfam family "tRNA". From Rfam's summary of the family: Transfer RNA (tRNA) molecules are approximately 80 nucleotides in length. Their secondary structure includes four short double-helical elements and three loops (D, anti-codon, and T loops). Lineage: Bacteria; Candidatus Colwelliibacteriota. The record is from RNAcentral.
CCGUCUCUAGCUCAACUGGCAGAGCAGCGGCCUCUUAAGCCGAAGGUUCUGGGUUCGAUUCCCAGGAGACGGA